GAAUUUUUAAAUAUUUAGACACUUUGGGAAUGCAGCUGGAGAGGGGAAAAGAAAAAAAAAAAAAAAAAAAAAAAAAAAAACAAAACACACACACACACGCGCACGCACGCACGCACGCCCUCAGAACUGUGUUCAUGUUAAAAUAUUUUACAGUUUUCAUCAGUCACAUUGUAACUGUGGUUCUCCUGCAAAAACAAUUCCAGCUCACUUUGAGCAAAAAAUUAAAUUAAAUUAAAAAAAAUAAUAAAAAAGUAUAAUGAAAAUCCAAAUAAAGAAAAAACAAACAAUCUAGUGUCAAUCCAGUGUCAAGUUGAUUAUUUAAUGUUACACCAUUACACGGUGUCGAUUCUUCAAAAAGUGCUGGUGACUCCGUUUCAACGAACAAACGAACAACAUCACAGAGACAUCUCUUUCAGCCGAACACAGGCAUGUCGAAUUCGGUCAGAUGCUUUCAAAUGACCUUUAACAUUGGGAUAAGAAACAGCUGGAAGAAAACAGGAAUGAGAUAAAAGCCUGCAUCAGGCUCAGUACUUCACGCUCGGGUCAUAUCCGAAUUCUCGUGGCCCUGCGCCAUCACGUUAAACAGCUAACAGUUAACCAGCUGAUUCGGAGAACAGGAAACGACUUUUAAAUUCAGCUUCAUCGGAAAAAGUUAGCAUCUUCAGUAGAGUUUUCUUUUAUUAAAAAGGGAGUUCUGAUAAAAACUAAAAAAAAUAAAUAAAAAGCAGGGAUGUUUCUUUUCCCGUCUUCCUCCUGGACAGGGUACGAUUAUAGUACGUGAUCACUCUAACUGUAAAAUAAAAUACAAUCAUUUUCUUUUAAUCAUAUGUAAUCGUAUGAAUCAUUGAUAAUUAAUUGCAAUGAAUUAACACUUUAUUCAAAAAAAAAAAAUAAUAAUAAUAAUAAUAUUAUAACCAUUAUAUUAUAAUAAUUACAUAAACAAAUCUGGAUGUAGGAUGGGGGUCAAAUAAUUAUUUUCCAUCCGAACGAAUCGUAAUAUUAAAAAUAAAACCGUGAUUCCAAAUCCAGAUGUGAGGAAGUGAUCACAAUCCUGUUAUUAAACAAGACCAAAUCAAUUUCUCUUCAUCGCAGUGUUGUGAUGCUGGUGUACAGGAAAUACCGCCUCGUUAUCAGCUUUUUU
Long non-coding RNA from Ictalurus punctatus (channel catfish), 1141 nucleotides. Lineage: Eukaryota; Metazoa; Chordata; Actinopteri; Siluriformes; Ictaluridae. The record is from Ensembl.